CGGAGAGAUGGCCGAGUGGCCGAAGGCGCACGCCUGCUAAGUGUGUAACCCGGUUUCGGGUUCGAGGGUUCAAAUCCCUCUCUCUCCGCCAU
RNAcentral lists this transfer RNA (92 nucleotides) under Pyramidobacter piscolens W5455. RNAcentral describes it as "tRNA-Ser". It matches the Rfam family "tRNA". From Rfam's summary of the family: Transfer RNA (tRNA) molecules are approximately 80 nucleotides in length. Their secondary structure includes four short double-helical elements and three loops (D, anti-codon, and T loops). Lineage: Bacteria; Thermotogati; Synergistota; Synergistia; Synergistales; Dethiosulfovibrionaceae. The record is from RNAcentral.